AGACACGCUGGACUUAAAAUCCAGUGAACAGCAAUGUUCGUGCGGGUUCAAGUCCCGCUCUGAGUA
This 66-nucleotide transfer RNA is filed under the name Flavobacterium succinicans. RNAcentral describes it as "tRNA_Leu_TAA". It matches the Rfam family "tRNA", at positions 20 to 71 of the family's 71-position model. From Rfam's summary of the family: Transfer RNA (tRNA) molecules are approximately 80 nucleotides in length. Their secondary structure includes four short double-helical elements and three loops (D, anti-codon, and T loops). Lineage: Bacteria; Pseudomonadati; Bacteroidota; Flavobacteriia; Flavobacteriales; Flavobacteriaceae. The record is from RNAcentral.